This 494-nucleotide ribosomal RNA is filed under the name Eurepa wirkutta. RNAcentral describes it as "partial 16S ribosomal RNA". It matches the Rfam family "Bacterial large subunit ribosomal RNA", at positions 1832 to 2582 of the family's 2925-position model. The record is from RNAcentral. Lineage: Eukaryota; Metazoa; Arthropoda; Insecta; Orthoptera; Gryllidae.
UCUUUUUGUAUUAAUUGAAAGUUGUACCUGCCCACUGAAAUAUUUUAAAGGGCCGCGGUAUUUUGACCGUGCAAAGGUAGCAUAAUCAUUAGUUUUUUAAUUGGGAACUGGAAUGAAUGGUUUGACGAGAUAAUAACUGUCUUAUAAUUAUAUAUUGAAUUUUACUUUUGAGUUAAAAGGCUCAAAUAAUAUUAAGGGACGAGAAGACCCUAUAGAUCUUUACAUUUAAUUUAUUUAUUAUUUUUAUAGUUGUUUAUUUAUUUGAAUAUAAAUUUGUUAUUUGUUUUGUUGGGGUGAUGUGAGAAUAUAUUAACUUCUUAAUAUUUUACUUUGAUAGAUGGUAAAAUGAUCCUUAAUUUUGGAAUUAAGAUUAAGAUACCUUAGGGAUAACAGCGUAAUUUUGUUGGAGAGUUCUUAUCGAUAACGAAGAUUGCGACCUCGAUGUUGGAUUAAGAUUAGAUUAAGGUGAAGGUGCUUUAGAUUUUGGUCUGUUC